CAGUCGCCGCGGUAAUACGGAGGGUGCAAGCGUUAAUCGGAAUUACUGGGCGUAAAGCGUGCGUAGGCGGUUCGUUAAGUCUGUUGUGAAAGCCCCGGGCUCAACCUGGGAAUGGCAAUGGAUACUGGCGAGCUAGAGUGUGUCAGAGGAUGGUGGAAUUCCCGGUGUAGCGGUGAAAUGCGUAGAGAUAUGGAGGAAUACCGAUGGCGAAGGCAGCCCCCUGGGCCAAUACUGACGCUCAUGCACGAAAGCGUGGGGAGCAAACAGGAUUAGAUACCCCCGUAGUCCCUGUCUCUUAUAC
Molecule: ribosomal RNA, 301 nt
Filed under: uncultured bacterium
Lineage: Bacteria
Description: partial 16S ribosomal RNA
Rfam family: Bacterial small subunit ribosomal RNA
Source: RNAcentral